This 247-nucleotide long non-coding RNA is filed under the name Prunus persica (peach). RNAcentral describes it as "long non-coding RNA (PPER_LNC005862)". Lineage: Eukaryota; Viridiplantae; Streptophyta; Magnoliopsida; Rosales; Rosaceae. The record is from RNAcentral.
CAAGGUGUUUUUAUUCCUAUUAAUUCAAAUGAUAUUUUCUUUUAUUUUAAUUAUAAGUAUGCAUAACUAAUUUUCUAUUGCUAGGGUGAGGCCAUAAGCCUUAGCAUGAAUAUGUAAUUUUAUUAAUUUGCUUAUGAAUAGAUGCAUGUUUGCUUUGAAUUAUUAAUCAUUGCGUUUAAAACUAUCUAUUUAUUUUAAUGAUUGAUCACCAUUAGGAUAUGUAGACAAGUAAUUUGAUGCAAUUUAU